Molecule: long non-coding RNA, 453 nt
Organism: Solanum stenotomum
Lineage: Eukaryota; Viridiplantae; Streptophyta; Magnoliopsida; Solanales; Solanaceae
Exons: 4
Source: RefSeq, a predicted model, not a curated record
CUAAGUAUAGCGGAUCAAUUUGUUGAGAAACAUGUGAUUAGUGAUUCCUUCUCCUUGUGUUUUGGAGGAAUGGAUUUCGAUGGUGGUACAAUGGUUCUUGGAGGAAUAAACCCUCCUUCUAAGAUGGUUUUUACCCAUUCUUAUCCUCUACGCAGAAAUUUGUUUUAUGCAGUUAGAUGAACUAAUGGAUCAAGCUACUCUUUAGCGUUCUCUGAAUUCUUGGACCUUGAACGCCCUUCUCUGCACCUGAGGCAGUGGAUUAAAGCAAUUAAAAGUAUGAUCUUGUUCUUUGGCCAGAAGUGUACUUGGAGUUGGCAUUGAUCUUAUGUGAUUGUGACUCUGUUUUGCCAGAAUUAGGGAAUGGAGGUGAUCAAAUUUGAAGGGUCGCCACAAGUCAAUUUGAUCUCAUUGAAGUGUAUGAUGAAAAGUUUUUGAACUAUUGUAAAAGUUUGA